RNAcentral lists this ribosomal RNA (586 nucleotides) under uncultured bacterium. RNAcentral describes it as "partial 16S ribosomal RNA". It matches the Rfam family "Bacterial small subunit ribosomal RNA", at positions 355 to 937 of the family's 1533-position model. The record is from RNAcentral.
UGGGGAAUUUUGGACAAUGGGCGAAAGCCUGAUCCAGCAAUGCCGCGUGUGUGAAGAAGGCCUUCGGGUUGUAAAGCACUUUUGUCCGGAAAGAAAUCCUUGGCUCUAAUACAGUCGGGGGAUGACGGUACCGGAAGAAUAAGCACCGGCUAACUACGUGCCAGCAGCCGCGGUAAUACGUAGGGUGCAAGCGUUAAUCGGAAUUACUGGGCGUAAAGCGUGCGCAGGCGGUUUGCUAAGACCGAUGUGAAAUCCCCGGGCUCAACCUGGGAACUGCAUUGGUGACUGGCAGGCUAGAGUAUGGCAGAGGGGGGUAGAAUUCCACGUGUAGCAGUGAAAUGCGUAGAGAUGUGGAGGAAUACCGAUGGCGAAGGCAGCCCCCUGGGCCAAAUACUGACGCUCAUGCACGAAAGCGUGGGGAGCAAACAGGAUUAGAUACCCUGGUAGUCCACGCCCUAAAACGAUGUCAACUAGUUGUUGGGGAUUCAUUUCCUUAGUAACGUAGCUAACGCGUGAAGUUGACCGCCUGGGGAGUACGGUCGCAAGAUUAAAACUCAAAGGAAUUGACGGGGUCAUAGCUGUUUCC